Long non-coding RNA from Brachypodium distachyon (stiff brome), 872 nucleotides. RefSeq lists it as uncharacterized. The transcript is spliced from 2 exons. Lineage: Eukaryota; Viridiplantae; Streptophyta; Magnoliopsida; Poales; Poaceae. The record is from RefSeq and is a predicted model, not a curated record.
UCCCCUUUGAUCACAAAUCACAAUCACAUCGGGGCAUCGGGGCGUACCCAAUUACAUUACUUAAGCAAACUGUUUAGCUUUUCCCAAAUCUGUUUCGCACACACGCGUUAACAUCCCGAUCCCGGCCCACGGGUUCGAAGGAACCGGCUUCUCCACUCCACCAACACCACUACUACUACUCUAUCAAAUCCAGCUUGCUAGCCCACCAAAGAAAGGCCAGCAAGCUACCGGCAAUCAAGAAGAAGAAUGUGCCUUCCGUGGUGCCGCCCCCGUCAGCACGACUAUGGCCGCAACCGCAAGGACAGCCGCCCCACGGCCUCCAGCCAGCUGGGGCACGACGGCGCCGGCGACGGCCAAAAGGCGCCGCCGACGCCGCCCCACCUCCAGCCGCCCGCUGCCGGCGGCGGCCAUGGCUACGCUCAAGACAAGGUUGACGACGAAACGACGUUGAAGUAGCAGCAGCUGCUGCUGCCGCCCGAGCGGCACAACAAGGUCAGCGGCGCUGCUCCUGAUGAUCACGGCGAGAAGAACCCCAUGGAUUUCAACCACCACCACUACCACCACUAGUACUCUCCAAAGUCAUCAUCCGAUGUGCGAGUUUCCGAAACUGAAAGGCACCUGGAGUACUGGAAUGGAAGUAUGGGAGCAUGUUGUUUUGUUUAUGGAUGUAACACUUGCGGCACAAAUUAUCAGUCGGUCUCUGACUCUGUCUAGCUAGUUGCUGCAUGCUUGUACUUUAGUCCUAGCUUGUUUUCUUCUUCUUCUUGUGAUGUAUCAAAAUAAAUCAAGUGAAAGGAAAGCAUUGUUCCGCCGAGCUUACAGGAGAAUAAAGGCAUGCAUGCUUUGUAGCAGCAAGGACAGGUUAUUAUCCA